RNAcentral lists this ribosomal RNA (484 nucleotides) under uncultured soil bacterium. RNAcentral's name for it is "bacterial SSU rRNA". It matches the Rfam family "Bacterial small subunit ribosomal RNA", at positions 26 to 524 of the family's 1533-position model. The record is from RNAcentral.
AGGACGAACGCUGGCGGCGUGCUUAACACAUGCAAGUCGAGCGAGGCUCUCCUUCGGGAGAUGUCCUAGCGGCGAACGGGUGAGUAACACGUGGGCAACCUGCCUCUAGCUCUGGGAUAACUCCGGGAAACCGGGGCUAAUACCGGAUACGACCUCGAGCGGCAUCUAUCGAGGUGGAAAGUUUUUCGGCUAGAGAUGGGCCCGCGGCCUAUCAGCUUGUUGGUGAGGUAACGCCCACCAAGGCGACGACGGGUAGCCGGCCUGAGAGGGCGACCGGCCACGACUGGGACUGAGACACGGCCCAGACUCCUACGGGAGGCAGCAGUGGGAAUAUUGCGCAAUGGGCGAAAGCCUGACGCAGCGACGCCGCGUGAGGGAUGAAGGCCUUCGGGUGUAAACCUCGUUUCAGCGAGGACGAAGCGACGAAGUGACGGUACCUGCCGAAGAAGAAGCACCGGCAAACUACGUGACCAGCCAGGCCGAC